AUCCUCUCAGGGUCGCACCUGGAGAGUUUCCAGUACUCUACCAGUCUCGUCUAUGGGAGGGAGAGUUAAGCAGAGGCAUACCCAUUAUGUUCCUAGCUUGGGCAGUGGCUAGAGAGUGGAAGGCGAUCUGCUACAAGU
Molecule: small nucleolar RNA, 138 nt
Organism: Tachyglossus aculeatus (Australian echidna)
Lineage: Eukaryota; Metazoa; Chordata; Mammalia; Monotremata; Tachyglossidae
Source: RefSeq, a predicted model, not a curated record